This 67-nucleotide transfer RNA is filed under the name Chrysotus gramineus. Its description in RNAcentral is "tRNA-Leu". The record is from RNAcentral. Lineage: Eukaryota; Metazoa; Arthropoda; Insecta; Diptera; Dolichopodidae.
ACUAUUUUGGCAGAUUAGUGCAAUAAAUUUAGAAUUUAUAUAUGUAAAAUUAUAAUUACAAAUAGUA